Molecule: long non-coding RNA, 320 nt
Filed under: Trifolium pratense (red clover)
Lineage: Eukaryota; Viridiplantae; Streptophyta; Magnoliopsida; Fabales; Fabaceae
Description: long non-coding RNA (TPRA_LNC000227)
Source: RNAcentral
AAAAAAUUACGCGAUUCUUCUCUGAAGAAAGAAACGCCGUCAUGUUUCUUCUCACUUCUUCAAUCGCGAUUCAGCCAUGCUUCUUCAUACAUCUCCUUCCUUUCCUUCNNNNNNNNNNNNNNNNCAUCUCCUUCCUUUCCUUCACUUUUGUUUCAUCUCAUCUCUCUGUUUCAAACCAACCCUAACCUAGCCUUGUUUCAUUUCAUCCCAUCUCUCUGUUUUCAUCUCAUCCCAUCUCUCUCUCUCUGUUUUCAUCUCAUCCCAUCUCUCUGUUUUCAUCUAUCUAAUUUUUUUCUUUGUUCUGUCUGUUUUCAUCUCUG